This 435-nucleotide ribosomal RNA is filed under the name uncultured Desulfobulbus sp. RNAcentral describes it as "bacterial SSU rRNA". It matches the Rfam family "Bacterial small subunit ribosomal RNA", at positions 950 to 1382 of the family's 1533-position model. Lineage: Bacteria; Pseudomonadati; Thermodesulfobacteriota; Desulfobulbia; Desulfobulbales; Desulfobulbaceae. The record is from RNAcentral.
UUCGAUGCAACGCGAACGAACUUACCUGGUCUUGACAUCCCGGAGACCUUAGGAACUAGGGGUGCUUCCAUCUGGAAGAAUCUGGAGACAGGUGCUGCAUGGCUGUCGUCAGCUCGUGUCGUGAGAUGUUGGGUUAAGUCCCGCAACGAGCGCAACCCUUGCCUUUAGUUGCCAGCAGUUCGGCUGGGCACUCUAAAGGGACUGCCGGUGUUAAACCGGAGGAAGGUGGGGAUGACGUCAAGUCCUCAUGGCCUUUAUGACCAGGGCUACACACGUACUACAAUGGCCGAUACAAAGGGCAGCGACACUGCGAGGUGAAGCCAAUCCCGUAAAAUCGGUCUCAGUCCGGAUUGGAGUCUGCAACUCGACUCCAUGAAGUUGGAAUCGCUAGUAAUCGUGGAUCAGCAUGCCACGGUGAAUACGUUCCCGGGCCUU